RNAcentral lists this ribosomal RNA (242 nucleotides) under uncultured bacterium. Its description in RNAcentral is "partial 16S ribosomal RNA". It matches the Rfam family "Bacterial small subunit ribosomal RNA", at positions 15 to 248 of the family's 1533-position model. The record is from RNAcentral.
AAUCAUGGCUCAGGAUGAACGCUAGCUACAGGCUUAACACAUGCAAGUCGAGGGGCAGCAUGAACUUAGCUUGCUAAGUUUGAUGGCGACCGGCGCACGGGUGAGUAACACGUAUCCAACCUGCCGAUGACGUCGGGGAUAGCCUUUCGAAAGAAAGAUUAAUACCCGAUGGCAUAGUUCUUCCGCAUGGUAGAACUAUUAAAGAAUUUCGGUCAUCGAUGGGGAUGCGUUCCAUUAGGUUG